This 252-nucleotide ribosomal RNA is filed under the name uncultured bacterium. RNAcentral describes it as "partial 16S ribosomal RNA". It matches the Rfam family "Bacterial small subunit ribosomal RNA", at positions 524 to 776 of the family's 1533-position model. The record is from RNAcentral.
UACGUAGGCAGCAAGCGUUGUUCGGAAUUACUGGGCGUAAAGAGUGUGUAGGCGGUCGGGUAAGUCUGAUGUGAAAUCUCACAGCUUAACUGUGAAACUGCAUUGGAUACUAUCCGGCUCGAGGAAUGGAGGGGAGACUGGAAUACUUGGUGUAGCAGUGAAAUGCGUAGAUAUCAAGUGGAACACCAGUGGCGAAGGCGAGUCUCUGGACAUUUCCUGACGCUGAGGCACGAAAGCCAGGGAGCAAACGGG